Molecule: ribosomal RNA, 531 nt
Filed under: uncultured bacterium
Lineage: Bacteria
Description: bacterial SSU rRNA
Rfam family: Bacterial small subunit ribosomal RNA
Source: RNAcentral
UGGGGAAUAUUGCACAAUGGGCGAAAGCCUGAUGCAGCGACGCCGCGUGAGGGAUGACGGCCUUCGGGUUGUAAACCUCUUUCAGCAGGGAAGAAGCGAAAGUGACGGUACCUGCAGAAGAAGCACCGGCUAACUACGUGCCAGCAGCCGCGGUAAUACGUAGGGUGCGAGCGUUGUCCGGAUUUAUUGGGCGUAAAGAGCUCGUAGGCGGUCUGUCGCGUCUGCUGUGAAAACUCGGGGCUUAACCCCGAGCCUGCAGUGGGUACGGGCAGACUAGAGUGUGGUAGGGGAGACUGGAAUUCCUGGUGUAGCGGUGGAAUGCGCAGAUAUCAGGAGGAACACCGAUGGCGAAGGCAGGUCUCUGGGCCACAACUGACGCUGAGGAGCGAAAGCGUGGGGAGCGAACAGGAUUAGAUACCCUGGUAGUCCACGCCGUAAACGUUGGGCGCUAGGUGUGGGGCUCAUUCCACGAGUUCCGUGCCGCAGCUAACGCAUUAAGCGCCCCGCCUGGGGAGUACGGCCGCAAGGCUA